AAAAGUCGUCGGCUAAGGUCAAAAAAUUUCAAAAUUUUUUAGGCGGUAAACCAAAGUUGGAGGAAAAUUUUCAAAGGACUUUAGCCGACGAAAAUAUAUGAAAAGUCGUCGGCUAAAGUCGAAAAAUUUUCAAAAUUUUCAAAAUUUUCAACCAAAAUUUUUUGGCGGUCAACCAAAAUUUUCAAAAGAGUUUAGCCGACGAAAAUAAAGAAUUUCGUCGGCUAAAGUUCUUUAUAUAGGCGAAGAUGGAUGGUAAGAAGUCUAUUAUCUGCCAGAUUUUCUUUUCGGCCUAGCUCCGCCGUCAAGCCACCAGAGAUCGUCACACUAGUCCCAAAAGCUUCGCCGUCGUCUCUACUUCUUUGCUGGAUAGGUGGUGCAUCGAGUGGCGCCGCCAUGAGGGAUAAAUCGAGCUCCAAAACUCCGCCGGUUCGGAUUCGGUGUCGAUCAAAUUUCUCCUUCCUUAGGUCACCAUUUGGUGAGUUCUAUAUAUGGAUAAGUUGAGUUUGAUUAGUACUACAUUCCCCUAGAAUUUGGUAGCUCGAUUCGGUGUGUGUGAAGAGAAUCGAAGAUUUGAAGUUUUUAGGGUUUAAAAUUGGGGAUUUUUAUAUUUUGAGUCGAUUGACCUGUUUAGGCUUAGAAUUGAGCUUCGAUUUCUUCUAGAAAGUUGUUCGAAAUGUUGAGAGGAAGAUUCUGUCAAAUUUUGGUCGUGAUUGGAGGUGGCCGAAAGUUUCUGCAGUUUUUUUUUUCAAAACCCAGCAACUUUAGCCGACGAUAUUUAAACACUAUAUUCGUCGGCUAUAGUAUUUUUUAAUUUUUUUUAUAAGGUUUAGCCGACGAAAUAUAGUCUAUAGUUAUUUUUUUAAAUUUUUUAUAAGGUUUAGCCGACGAAUUAUGGCAUGUUUCGUCGGCUAUAGUUAUUUUUUUAAUUUUUUUAUAAGGUUUAGCCGACGAAAUAUAGUAAAUUUCGUCGGCAAUAGUUAUUUUUUUAAAUUUUUAUAAGGUGUAGCCGACGAAAUAUACUAUAUUUCGUCGGCUAUAGUUAUUUUUUAAUUAUUUAUUACACACUUUAGCCGACGAAUAUAUUAAUUGUUUCGUCGGCUAAAGUCUGGGAAAAAAACCGACGACAUGUUUUUCGUCGGCUAACUGUGGGACUAUAGCCGACGAAAAAAAAAAAUUUCGUCGGCUAAAGUCAUCACCGACGACCUUUUCCCGACGACACUAUAGCCGACGAGCCUUCUUAGCCGACGAAUUAAGAUAACAGGCCGACGAAAAUUUUUCGUCGGCUAAAGUGCUUGUCCUGGUAGUGU
RNAcentral lists this long non-coding RNA (1307 nucleotides) under Fragaria vesca (wild strawberry). Its description in RNAcentral is "long non-coding RNA (FVES_LNC003224)". Lineage: Eukaryota; Viridiplantae; Streptophyta; Magnoliopsida; Rosales; Rosaceae. The record is from RNAcentral.